RNAcentral lists this ribosomal RNA (226 nucleotides) under uncultured bacterium. RNAcentral describes it as "partial 16S ribosomal RNA". It matches the Rfam family "Bacterial small subunit ribosomal RNA", at positions 976 to 1204 of the family's 1533-position model. The record is from RNAcentral.
UGGGCUUGACAUACAUCAGAUCGCUGCAGAGAUGUAGUUUCCCUUUGUGGUUGGUGUACAGGUGGUGCAUGGUUGUCGUCAGCUCGUGUCGUGAGAUGUUGGGUUAAGUCCCGCAACGAGCGCAACCCUUGUCUUAUGUUGCCAGCAUUUGGUUGGGGACUCAUGAGAGACUGCCGGGGUUAACUCGGAGGAAGGUGGGGAUGACGUCAAAUCAUCAUGCCCCUUA